CAAAUUAUCCUCAUAAGUUAGACAAGAAGAGGUACCACUAAAGUUAUAGUUUAACCCGAUAAGCUUAAAUUAAAAAAUAUAGUUUUCUUUGGUAAAGGAAUAGGAACCGUGGUUAGAUCACUUUAAACUAUAUUUACUAAGGUGGUGGCACAGAAUCGGAGGCCCCGACUGUUUACUAAAAACACAUCUCAGUGCAAUGAUUAAUAUCAUAGUAUACUGAGUGAAAUUUGCCCGAUGCCAUUAACAUAAGAGAGGUAAUGGGUAACUGUUACUAAUCGAAAGUCUGGUUAAUAGCGGUCUUAACUAUGAGGAUCCAAAGGUAGCAAAAUAAAUUGGCCAUUAAAUGUGGUCCGGUAUCAAUAAUGUAACGAUGGCCUCACUGUCUCUACACACUUGCUCAGUGAAAUUGAAUUACCCGUGCAGAUGCGGGUUGCCUCCAGGUGGACGGGAAGACCCUAUGCAGCU
This 465-nucleotide ribosomal RNA is filed under the name Mycobernardia incrustans. RNAcentral's name for it is "LSU rRNA". It matches the Rfam family "Bacterial large subunit ribosomal RNA", at positions 1718 to 2100 of the family's 2925-position model. Lineage: Eukaryota; Fungi; Basidiomycota; Agaricomycetes; Corticiales; Corticiaceae. The record is from RNAcentral.